Molecule: ribosomal RNA, 420 nt
Filed under: uncultured bacterium
Lineage: Bacteria
Description: bacterial SSU rRNA
Rfam family: Bacterial small subunit ribosomal RNA
Source: RNAcentral
GAGGAAUAUUGGUCAAUGGGCGAGAGCCUGAACCAGCCAAGUGGCGUGCAGGAUGACGGCCCUAUGGGUUGUAAACUGCUUUUAUAAGGGAAUAAAGUGAGUCUCGUGAGGCUUUUUGCAUGUACCUUAUGAAUAAGGACCGGCUAAUUCCGUGCCAGCAGCCGCGGUAAUACGGAAGGUCCGGGCGUUAUCCGGAUUUAUUGGGUUUAAAGGGAGCGUAGGCCGGAGAUUAAGCGUGUUGUGAAAUGUAGAUGCUCAACAUCUGCACUGCAGCGCGAACUGGUUUCCUUGAGUACGCACAAAGUGGGCGGAAUUCGUGGUGUAGCGGUGAAAUGCUUAGAUAUCACGAAGAACUCCGAUUGCGAAGGCAGCUCACUGGAGCGCAACUGACGCUGAAGCUCGAAAGUGCGGGUAUCGAAC